This 266-nucleotide ribosomal RNA is filed under the name uncultured prokaryote. RNAcentral's name for it is "partial 16S ribosomal RNA". It matches the Rfam family "Bacterial small subunit ribosomal RNA", at positions 524 to 789 of the family's 1533-position model. The record is from RNAcentral.
UACGGAGGAUCCGAGCGUUAUCCGGAUUUAUUGGGUUUAAAGGGUGCGCAGGCGGGAGAUUAAGUCGGCGGUGAAAUUUUGCAGCUCAACUGUAAAAGUGCCUUCGAAACUGGUUUCCUUGAGUGUAGAUGAAGUAGGCGGAAUAUGUGGUGUAGCGGUGAAAUGCAUAGAUAUCACGAGGAACUCCGAUUGCGCAGGCAGCUUACUAAACUACUACUGACGCUCAGGCACGAAGGCGUGGGGAUCAAACAGGAUUAGAUACCCGU